Long non-coding RNA from Saccostrea cuccullata (small rock oyster), 376 nucleotides. RefSeq lists it as uncharacterized. The transcript is spliced from 3 exons. The record is from RefSeq and is a predicted model, not a curated record. Lineage: Eukaryota; Metazoa; Mollusca; Bivalvia; Ostreida; Ostreidae.
UGUAAUGUCUCCGAAUCAACUAUGUACGAGUUAACUUUUUGUUUUGUUUAUUUCAAGAGUUAUUUCCCGUAGUUUGGCAAGCGCCAUAUUUUACACGUGCAAUUGGAUUGUGACUUUGUAGCCCUAUAGUUCUUUGACGGCACCAAGACUGAAUAAAGGAGAUGAAGCCUUCUCAAUAACUGUUCCAGUAUAGAAUGGUUUAUCGACUUACGGUGUCAUAAAAAUUUGGGUGCGAGUGUCCAUCUGGAAAAUUUCGAUUGAAGUACAGAAUUUUUUUGAAUCCAAGUACGAUAAUGUUUUUAUCAGCUGAUUGUAGAGGAGGAGUUUUGUCAGUGUUAGAUGGGUACUAACAUCAUCUUGUGGCUGCAUCCAUUUU